GGUCCUUGGCAUUUGAUUUUUAAGACCCCAAUAUAUAAUUAAACCUGAGCGUGUGGUUACCAAACAAAUACAAACUAAAUCCAGACUAGGCAUUACAUUCCUCCCAGGCGUAUGGCACGAUAUGUUUCGCCACCGUACUUUUAAUACUGCGAUCAUUCCGCUUUGGCGUGCAAUGGUUUCAGUGUAUUCUGUGUGUGUGUUUAUAGUACGCAUGGAUAUGGGUGUAUUAUUGAAAAAUGACUUCAUUUACAGAUCUCUGCGAGCAGAAAUACUUUCUCCUCCAAAAACCGCGUGACUUCAAUAAGGUCAGGCAAAAAUACCUACGUGAACUGACUCUCCAGAAAUGUCCCUCAGUUGCGUUGCAUGCAUACAUGACAUGGGAUGACACUGGAAUUAACUAAUUAUGGCCUUUAAUUCCCAGGAGGGAACUUGUUAAUGCAAACCUGACCUUUAGUGUGUGUGCUGUAUAUUUUUAGGCGUUCUAAAUGUGUUUGGAAAGAAAUAGCGGCAAACCGGAUAACUACUUAGUCCUGUGACGAUUCUGUAUGGGUAGAUGUGCCUAUCAACCAGGCCUGCCAUGUUUGACCUUUGUGUCUUUGCCAAGCUGCUCAUAGACUCCAUGACACCCCAUGAAACUUCCCAAGGUAAGCCACGUGGAGCGCCCCCUUCUUUUGGAGAAUGGCUCCACCCAUGGGCAGGGCUAGCCACAAUCUGGGGAGGGACAAGCUUUUUGUAGGAUGAGCCCCAGGGAGCUCUUAGUGGGAGGGAAGUGGGUGGGGAGCAGGGCGAGGAUAAAACCGACCUGGAGACUCUGGGUCAAACCCAGAAAGCUACCAUGCAUGGUCAUUAGAGGUCUCAGAGCACCAAGAUAUGACCCUAGGCUAAAUACACCGCUGACAUAGGUACAGGGCCCUUUUCACUUUUUAAACCAUUUUUUUCCCUUCAGUCUUUGCUUUUCCUCUGUAAAUUAAAUUCUAUCUCUAAACCUCCAUCCUAUUCAACCUUCACUUAUCAGUUUCACUUCUUGUUCUGCAUCCCCUCUCCUUCUAUUUUUUAUCUCUUUUUUUUUCUAGUCUUUGUUUACUUUUUCUCUUUUUAUAUUUAUGUUACUUACGCAUUUUUCCCCUUAAACUC
This is a long non-coding RNA of Spea bombifrons (plains spadefoot toad), 1134 nucleotides long. RefSeq lists it as uncharacterized. Lineage: Eukaryota; Metazoa; Chordata; Amphibia; Anura; Pelobatidae. The transcript is spliced from 2 exons. The record is from RefSeq and is a predicted model, not a curated record.